AGUGGCGGACGGGUGAGUAACACGUGAGCAACCUGCCUUUCAGAGGGGGAUAACGUUUGGAAACGAACGCUAAUACCGCAUAAAAUAUCGGAGUCGCAUGGCACUGAUAUCAAAGGAGCAAUCCGCUGAAAGAUGGGCUCGCGUCCGAUUAGGCAGUUGGCGGGGUAACGGCCCACCAAACCGACAAUCGGUAGCCGGACUGAGAGGUUGAACGGCCACAUUGGGACUGAGACACGGCCCAGACUCCUACGGGAGGCAGCAGUGGGGGGUAUUGCACAAUGGGGGAAACCCUGAUGCAGCGAUGCCGCGUGAAUGAAGACGGCCUUCGGGUUGUAAAGUUCUGUCGCAGGGGACGAAAAUGACGGUACCCUGCAAGAAAGCUCCGGCUAACUACGUGCCAGCAGCCGCGGUAAUACGUAGGGAGCAAGCGUUGUCCGGAAUUACUGGGUGUAAAGGGAGCGUAGGCGGGAGGAUAAGUUGAAUGUGAAAUCUAUGGGCUCAACCCAUAGCUGCGUUCAAAACUGUUCUUCUUGAGUGAAGUAGAGGCAGGCGGAAUUCCUAGUGUAGCGGUGAAAUGCGUAGAUAUUAGGAGGAACACCAGUGGCGAAGGCGGCCUGCUGGGCUUUUACUGACGCUGAGGCUCGAAAGCGUGGGUAGCAAACAGGAUUAGAUACCCUGGUAGUCCACGCGGUAAACGAU
RNAcentral lists this ribosomal RNA (699 nucleotides) under uncultured bacterium. RNAcentral describes it as "bacterial SSU rRNA". It matches the Rfam family "Bacterial small subunit ribosomal RNA", at positions 94 to 810 of the family's 1533-position model. The record is from RNAcentral.